Macadamia integrifolia is the source of this 809-nucleotide long non-coding RNA. RefSeq lists it as uncharacterized. The transcript is spliced from 3 exons. NCBI's taxonomy places the organism in Eukaryota, Viridiplantae, Streptophyta, Magnoliopsida, Proteales, Proteaceae. The record is from RefSeq and is a predicted model, not a curated record.
UUUCCUCUUACAACCCUGGGCAUAUGAGCAUCUGGACUUUCUCUCUCCUCCCUUGGCAGAUGUAACAUCUUUCCUCUCACCAAGAAAUGGGGUGCGGGUAGGACCAUCCAUGGCGCAUUGCCUAUCACCACCACAGGAAGGGACGUCCUGAACCGAUCACUGAGUGAACUAGAUUCCCUUCCAGACAAUGACCUUUCCGUAAAUAUCUCAUCGGGACGAGGCUAGGUGGCUCACUGGUCUCUGUGUGCUGUUCUAGGGGCCUAGUGGCUCUGCUUGGUAUCUCAGGGAGAGGGUUUCCAGGAAAUGGUUUGAUUCGAACGGCCGAUUGGUUCCUUAUCACCCUCCUCCGUCCAUGCAUAAUCCUGAGACGCUUUUUAAAGAAGAGUUUCAGGCGGCCUUGAUUGGGGUCAAUGCGGAUCAUUUUACAGAGUCGACAAACGAUUACCAGGAGUUCCUCCAACAAGAUACUGUGUGCAUACCGCUGACUUCUGAUAGUCCUCAGAUGAUAAUGCAGGUACGGUGGUGCCGUUGGGAGGUGACUCAACCUCUUUUGGACCUGACUAUGGAGGUGACUGGUUGAUGCCAGAUGCCGAAGAGCAUGACCAGGACUGUGCCUGUGAUCAUUGUGCUUAUGCGGCAUCCUAAGAUGCACGGUGUAUUUUGGUUAUUUUGAUACUGAACUAUUCAUUGGUAUUCUUUUGGGCUUAUUAUGUAGAAGUCAUGAAUAUUUGUAAAUGGGAUAACAUCGUUCUGAUUAUGUAAUAUCAUUAGAUAAAUUCCCCAUUUUAAAUUUAUGAUCCGUUAUUAUA